Molecule: RNA transcript, 5699 nt
Organism: Anastrepha obliqua
Lineage: Eukaryota; Metazoa; Arthropoda; Insecta; Diptera; Tephritidae
Gene: Crag
Gene name: DENN domain-containing protein Crag
Exons: 17
Source: RefSeq, a predicted model, not a curated record
AUCAGGUGGCAUUAUUUGUCCAUUUGCGAGUCACCGAACCAAUGGAUUUAUCAAAGGAAAAUAAAUUCCAAUAGUGAAGCGUUUAUAAAUUCUAUUCGCUCUUAAAAUAUUUUGAAUAUUGAAUAUAAAUCAUAUCCUCAUGUUUAAAGAUUAAUAAGAACAACAUUUAUUUCAAAGAUGGUGAUGUAAAGGGAUACGAAAUAUUUUACGCAGUGUUGUGAAAAUUUUUCUGAUUAAAGUGAACGUCGUGAAAAGGAGUGCAAGGCAAAAGUAAAAGGCAGCAGACAGUUUGCUGAACAAAGUGGCGCAUAGAUUGGAAAGCCAAGCAAAAGCAAUCGACCGCCAUGGAGGAGAAACGAAUUGCUGACUAUUUUGUGGUAGCUGGUAUGCCAGAGCAUCCGCAGCUGUUGCAGGAAAAUAUUUUCAGCGAAUCGGGUCAUUUGAGAGCGGCUAAUACCAUAGAACCCAUAACCGAUAUUGGUGUAUACUUCCCGUUACUCGAUGAAGAGGUGCCCGAAGGCUACGAGGUGUUGGAGGCGACGCCUACAGGACUGCCAGCGAAUCUCAACCAUGGGUCUAUGCGUACCACAGAAUGUUAUAUUUACUAUAGACGUGGUAAAGAUCGACCGCCUUUAGUGGAUAUAGGUGUACUGUACGAUGGUCAUGAACGUAUAAUGUCUGAUGCUGAAAUUGUCGCAGAGACGCCUGGUGGCCGCGUAGCAAAUGUUAACAAUUCUUCAUCGAAAAUAUUUCUUACAUACCGACGAGCACGACCGGACAUGCCCUGCAACGAAUUAGUGGUCACAGAUUUGUGUGUGAUCGUACAAAGCAAAGGAGAAAAACCACCACAUGCAUUUUGCCUUAUCUACAAAACCCUCAAUAAGGGUUACAUGGGCAGCGAUGUCUAUUUAUGCUACAAAAAAUCUAUGUACCGUCCAAGAUUAAUCAGUUAUCAGCCGGAAAUAUUAUUGCGGUAUCCGACAGUCGAUCACAAUGACUUUCCCUUAAAUUUAUGUCCAAGUGUACCCCUAUUUUGUUUGCCGAUGGGCGCGUCCUUAGAGGCUUGGCCUCACGUGAGCGAAGGAGAGAAACGUAAACCCAUCAGUCCGGUGUUCAGUACUUUUGUGCUGACGGUCAAUGAUGGCACGUACAAAGUCUAUGGUUCCGCCUUAACAUUCUAUGAGGAUUUUGAGGAAGAAGCAUUGACUGAGAAGCAGCGUGAGCUGUUGGGAUGGAAUGAAGCGUUUGCUAAGCAAAAUUCAUUGCAUAUAAUUAAAUCUAUUUGCCUUUUGUCACAUUAUCCAUUCGGGGAUACUUUCGACAGAUGGCUGCGUUACUUACAUCGCCUAGCAGUGUAUGGUGUAGAUUUACCAGUAGCCAUCGAACGUUAUAUAACACAAUUGCUGGACGAAGUACCAUUUCCAGCACCUAGCAUACACUUACAACUCUCCAGCGAGUCCAAUGACCGCAUUCUGCUUACGCAACCGGAAGACUCGCCUCUGCCACGUAGCGGUGCGGGUUUUCACAUGUUGCUACAGAAUUUAGGAACUGAUAACUGUUUGCAUGUCUUGUUGCUGGCGUUAACGGAGCAAAAAAUUUUGAUACACUCAUUACGACCGGCGACAUUAACUGCAGUGGGUGAAGCUAUUGUAUCGCUGUUAUUUCCAUUCAAAUGGCAAUGCCCGUACAUUCCACUAUGCCCGCUGGGUUUGGCGGAAGUCUUGCAUGCGCCGUUGCCCUAUUUGAUUGGAGUCGAUUCAAGGUUUUUUGAUUUAUAUGAACCACCGCAAGAUGUAACUUGCAUCGACUUAGAUACGAACACAAUCAGCUUGUGUGAAUCACAGAAGCAUUUAACGAUAAAACUUUUGCCUAAACGUGCUGCACGUAUUUUGCGUCAAAGCCUCAACGAAUUGGAAGCUCUUAAAACAACUCACAUCGAAUCAACUAACAGCCUUGAUAGGGAUUUAAGAAAGCGAAAGCGUGAGCAAGAUCUCGAACAACGAAUUCAAGAGGCCUUUCUGCUGUUCAUGGCAUCGAUUUUACGCGGCUAUCGCGACUAUUUGACGCCGAUAUCGAAGGCGCCCUCUGUCGGUGCCACAGAUCCAAGUGCCUUAUUUCAACUGAAGGCGUUCUUGCGAUCACGCGAUAAGGCGCAUCAAAAGUUCUUUGAACUUCUCAUGAAAACUCAGAUGUUUAUACGUUUCAUUGAAGAACGUUCUUUCGUAUCGGAUGGCGAUCAUGGACUUACAUUUUUCGAUGAAUGCGCUGAAAAGGUGGGCGCAUACGAUGACACACCGUCCGACUUGCGUUUAGUUGACUGGGAAUCUGGGCAGAAUAGCGAACGUACAAAGUACAUAUUUCCACCAGACAGUGUAGGACCCAAACAAGAUAACUCCGGGUUCGUUUACAACUAUGCGAACUUCACACUGAAUCCGAGUCUAUUGAAAUCGUCGAAGAAAACUGCGUUAUCGCACUUUUUGCAGCAACAGUUAAACGGCUCGUUGGCGCCGGGAUCGCCUAUAGCACGCCGCACAAAACACGAAAUUAAGCUCUCGCAGAAAAUGGCACGACGUUGUCAGAUGCACCCAGAGGCGUGGUCAAAAUAUCUGCUGGCGACAUGCUAUUCUCUCUACUUCCUCAUACUCCCGUCCAUGGUGACCGAUACGCGCCAGGCCGGCAAAGAGCACGACAUUUUGCGUGCAGCCUACGACAUGUUGGUGCGUGCCUCAAAACUUAAAAUAACCUGUGAUGAAUUUUGCUACCGUAUCAUGAUGCAAUUGUGUGGCAUACAUAAUCUCCCCGUAUUGGCGGUGCGUCUACACUAUCUGAUGAAGCGCUCGGGUGUACAACCCAAUGCGCUAACCUAUGGCUUCUACAAUCGUUGCGUGCUCGAGUCGGAAUGGCCCAGUGAUAGUACAACGCUUAGCCAACUACGUUGGAAUCGCAUUAAAAACGUCGUACUCGGCGCGGCGCAUUUUCGACGCGCUGGCAAGAAGCAUGCAGCUAAGAAACCACUUUCAGCAUCAUGCGAAAAUAACCUCAGUACAUUAGAAACAGUUGACGGCACAUCACGUACCAGCCUUGAUUCAUCAACGUCUUCGCAUAUGGAACGGGGUGCUGGCGAUUCUCAUGCGUAUAGCGCCACACUGCUGGACUUCUCAGCAUUCGAUAAAUUGCGAGGCAAAUUAGGUAGCAUUGUGCGCCAGUCGGCGCUGGCAAUGAGUGCACAGGACCCAGCUGGUGAUGUUAUCAGCUCGACAGCGGGACUAUUGAUAGCAGGUGACAUCAAGUCCAGUGGGGCCAUCGAAAAAUCAGGCAAUGACAAAAGUGCGCCACCUACUUCCACAUCGUCGCCGCACACACCGAACAGUCCGCACAGCCCCAAUUGUGAUCUAACCGGGGUUGGCGCUAGCGGCAAGCUACAAUUGACGAAGGCCGAGAGUUUCGGUGGUGAUGCACAGCUGCUGAACAAAUUGCAACGCAAGCAGUCGCUGCCCACCGAAACAAGUGGGCCACGUUAUAAAAUAAUGAAUAUCGGUGAUGGCGAGGAAGAUGUAGCCGAUGAAGAGGAGGCAUUGAAGGAAGAUGAAAUGCUGCAUGAAAUUGCCAGUUCUCAGGAAGAGUUGGACUAUGCGACGGCUGACGCACAUAUGAGCGGUGAAGAUGCGCACGCACAUCUUUUACAGAGUCCCACAAAAAUAUCACCACGCACGCCGGUCACUCAAAAUGAUCCGCUAGGCGCGUUAAAUGAAGAACUGAAAGGUCAAUGUACGGCUACAAACACCAAAAGCACCAAAGAGGCAACAAACGAACAACACGCCGGCAUGAAUAACAGCACUAUGUAUACCGAUAAGCCCAUAUUAUUCAAAGGUCAACGUAGUGCGACCUUCGACGAAUCGACGCAUUUGAGCAAAAGUAUGCAGCGAUCGGAGACAAUGCCUGGUUCAAGUGUAGCGUCGAGUUUGGCCAAUUUCGGUUCAUCGUUGAAAUUCAAUUUCGGACGUUAUUCACCUGCACGAUUCUCAUUUAAGAAAGACAGUUUCAAGCCCACCAUUAUUAUAGAAAAUAUUUCCAAUAUAAGUCCCAGUUUAACGGGUAAAAAAUCGAAUGAGAUCAUUCAAGGUAGCCUGAGCAGCAUAAAAUAUGCUGCCACUUCGUUAACCCGAAAAUUCGAUGAGAUUAAAGGUGCGCUCUCGGCCCAAACGACACCGGUUAAAACGCCUGGCAACGUUGGACAUCCCGAGGGUGCUGAUGAAGAUGUGAUUACACACGAGGAUGGCACGUUGAAAAUACGUCGCGUCUCCAGCGAUUUGGAUCCUUGGGGACGGCUGAGUGAAUCGCGCAAAUCAAGCUAUAAUAAUUUGGUGCCGUUGGGCGAAAAUACGUCGGCGUUAAAUUUGAGCGCAUUUCCAGUGCUACCGGAUAAUUUGUACUCACCCAUUGCGGAUUUAGAAGAGCGCCCCGAGUGUGACGUACUCAUACAAAUCACAUCCUGUUCCCAAUGCCACAACUGUUCGGUGCUGCUGUAUGACGAGGAGAUUAUGUCCGGUUGGUCAGCAGAGGAUUCCAAUUUGAAUACAACCUGCCACGCAUGCAACAAGUUAACCGUGCCAUUCCUGAGCGUACAAAUUGUUGUGGACGAUUCCCUGAAGGCGCUCAAACAAUCAGACAGCCUGACAAUUCCAUAUUUGAAUCCAUUGGUCUUGCGCAAAGAACUCGAAAACAUACUUACACAGGAAGGUGAUAUCGCACUGGUGAAGUCCUCCUUUGUAGAGGAGCAUCCGAUUAUUUAUUGGAAUUUAUUGUGGAUUAUGGAGCGUAUCGAAAGUAAAACUCAUCUGCCUGAGCUUUGCCUGCCAGUAGCUGCUGACGAGGAAUGCGAUCCGCUAAGCAAAGUAAAGACUGUAAGCAUCCAAUGUCUGUGGGAUAAUUUACGACUACACAGCGAAGCCGGUCCACCCAUGUAUAUAUUAUACAAGCAAAACCAGCCAGCCAGUCCGUUACUGAAAGCACUGCUCACCGACCAGGCGCAUUUGAACAAAAAUGUCAUUCAACAAAUCAUUUCGGCAAUACGCUGCAAUGAUCUCUUAACGCCAGUCAAGCGAUUAGCAAAUGAGCGGCACAAAUUGAAAAAUAACGGCGUCGAUCGAACACACUCCAUCUAUCGUGAUAUACUCUUUUUGGCGCUCACCGCCAUCGGCCGUUCCAAUGUCGAUUUGGCCACAUUCCAUCGCGAAUAUGCCUCGGUGUUCGACAAGCUGACCGAAAAGGAAUGCAAUAUGUUCUAUCGCAAUCAGGAUUUGCCACCUUCAGCGGCAACAAUUUUCUGCCGAGCUUACUUCAAGCCGCUAUUGCUUCCUUGACGUGAUAUCAACUAUCUGCGGCAUGACUUUCACAUCAAUACGAAGGCAAAUACGAAUGCAAAUGACGAAGUCGGACGAAUGUAAUGUGAAGGUGUAAUAUCAGUAGAAAUAAUGAGAAAUCGUUAGUAGGGGUACUCACACACUCAUUUCGUUACAUUGUCGGUUUGGCAAAUUUGUUUUGCUGUGAACGGCCUCUUUGACUUAUUUUUGUUAGUUUGGUAAUGCUCUUGCGCACCAGCUGAUUUAUAGCAAUUUCACUACAUAUAUACAAGGUGGCGCAAAAUCAAUCAGCCAAUUUUGUUUUUGAAUAACUUUUUUACUAAAUAAAAGAAAUGA